GCGUCCAGAGCAGCUCUUGGCACGCUCCUUGCAGGAGGAUCACCUCGACUGAGCUGUUCUCAGAUUACAGCCAGUGUCCUUUUGUUUCUCUAUUUUCUUGCACAGUCCAUGGACUUGUGCAAGUGUCCGGUUUUCCCCUUUUUACUUGCACAGUCUCAGGACUUGUGCAAGUGUCCGGUUUUCCCCUUUUUACUUGCACAGUCUCAGGACUUGUGCAAGUGUGGGUUUUUUUUCCAUUUUUGUUUCCCGGCCUACGGACUCGAGCAGCACUGCUCAGAGGAUGGAGCGAGUCCGUAGAGCAGUCAGCAGCGCCUUUUCAUUGGUGGCUUCUCGGAAAGCUUUUCUUCAUUUGGCUGUUUUUUCCCUUGGGACAGCACAUUGGAACAAAAAGGGCAUAAAGAUGCCAUAUGUUUGGUAAAGCUCCUGUCAACAGCUUCAGCUGAAAAGGGGGUGUCUCUUGCCCAGAAGGGUGUGUAGGAACCUCCAAAAUGCAGACUGGGAGAGCUUUGCAGGCAUCCUUUAAAAAACCAUGCAGAUCUCUCCAGAACUGAGGAAAAGCAUCUUUGUUUCUGCAUUCCAUCCUUAAAGGAUGUGCCUGUCUAACUGGACCCCCUCUGUGUGCUCCAAGAGCCAUUGGCUCUGCGCUGCAGGGCAAAUUGCCGAGCACUUGGUGUGUGCUCCUGAAGCCCAGAGCUGGGCCUGUGCUGUGUCCCAACAGAACUGCAAGCGCUGAGAGGGGUUUGGUGGAAGCUUUUGUGGGAAUUGUUUACAGCAACCGCGUGGCACAUGCUGCAUGCAAUUUACAAAAAGAAAAAGCAAGUCCAGGAAAGAGAGGAAAAAAAAGCUGCUUUAGCUGUAGGCUGGACAAUGAGCUGCAAUGUAGGCACUGCCUGCUAAGGAACAAUUUGCAUCUUCAUGGCCAAGUUUCUAGUUCCUUAGUGGCAAAGCUGAACAAAAGCUCGCCUCAGAGGUGGAAGGAGUCAAGCGCGCACUUCGGUCCCGCUAGGAGAGGAUCUUGCCAGUCAGGACUCCUGGGCCCAGGCAGGAAAGGCGGAGCGGCAGGAGAGCACGGACAGAGUGCACAGUGCCCAGGAGUUCAGAAAAUACGAAGCCAUUGUCUCCUUGGAGCAACGCCAGCGCUACAAGGAUGACUUCAAUGCAGAGUAUGAGGGAUAUCAGAAUUUAUAUUUUAAGAUUGACAAGAUCAUCAAGAAAUUCAGACAAUUUCAGGAGCAAUGGAAGUCUCUGACUCCAGGCUCCAAAGCCUAUCAGGUAAAGAAGGAUGAAACCAUGAAGACUGUGCUUCAUCACAGUAGUGCUCUGGAUUCCCUGGAGCUGCUCAGUGAACAGAGGGAAACUGUGGAACUGGCAUAUAUGCUCAGACACUGCUUGGGCUGGGUCUGAUUUUUGCAAGACCCAGCCCAAAAGCCCUGGUUUGAGCUGUCAAUGAAGAAACAGUUGUCUAUGAGAGAUGUCCCAAGCAGAGUCUUAGAGCAUGGACUCCUUCUAUUGCCUAUUGAGAGGCUUAAUUACAGAUCUUGGGUGAUGCUGGGAGAUGGAGAUUUGUUUUGCAGAGCUCCCAGAAGAGUGGUGGCUCACAGACGGAAAAUCUCUAGAGUCAGUCUGAGUGUACUUUUAGUGUUUUACCAAAGUUUGCAUUUUAUGGUGGUAAUAAAACAUUCUUCAUGUUUUGUUUUUUUCUUUCUUAAAGAUUCUGCACCAUCGAAUCCUAGCAGAUUAUCAGCAUUUACAACAGGCACGUGUGACACCAGACCUGCAGGGCCAUGGCAACUGCUGAGUCUGCCUCAAGGCUUUUUUAAAGCAAAGGACAUCACCUUCCAAACUAGGCAGAAGCAUUUGCAUGCCCUGAUUUUCUUUUGCUUUCUCCCUCACAGGGUAGCCCCAGGGUAGUCUGAAAUGAGGAGCAGGUGCCAGUACCUCCACAAGAAGCUGGCCCAUAUUCAGAGUCGCAUUUCUGAAUUUGACCAGCAGUGAGUGGAGUACUGGCACCAGACAUCUGCUUCAACAGAGGAACAUCUUUGAACUCAGGAUUUUUUAUUUCAACUAGAAGAUUAGGUUUUUAGUAUUAUACAAAUUAGUAUAGAACAGUAGGUUAUUUUAGCACUUAGCAGUGGAUUAUGUCUUAUAAAUGUAGGAUUAGUUCAAAGAAGUUGAGUUAAUUUAAGAAGUUG
Molecule: RNA transcript, 2192 nt
Organism: Passer domesticus (house sparrow)
Lineage: Eukaryota; Metazoa; Chordata; Aves; Passeriformes; Passeridae
Gene: ELL2
Gene name: elongation factor for RNA polymerase II 2
Exons: 4
Source: RefSeq, a predicted model, not a curated record